GACGGAAGGUGCAAGCGUUGCUCGGAAUCACUGGGCGUAAAGGGUGCGUAGGCGGCCGUGCAAGUCUGGCGUGAAAGCCCCGGGCUCAGCCCGGGAAGUGCGCUCGAAACUGCGCGGCUCGAGUGCCGGAGGGGAGAGUGGAAUUCCUGGUGUAGCGGUGGAAUGCGCAGAUAUCAGGAGGAACACCAAUAGCGAAGGCAGCUCGCUGGGACGUUACUGACACUGAGGCGCGAAAGCGUGGGGAGCGAACAGG
Molecule: ribosomal RNA, 253 nt
Filed under: uncultured bacterium
Lineage: Bacteria
Description: partial 16S ribosomal RNA
Rfam family: Bacterial small subunit ribosomal RNA
Source: RNAcentral